RNA transcript from Cavia porcellus (domestic guinea pig), 5726 nucleotides. It is a transcript of the gene named zinc finger DHHC-type palmitoyltransferase 15, with no coding region annotated. The transcript has 13 exons. The record is from RefSeq and is a predicted model, not a curated record. NCBI's taxonomy places the organism in Eukaryota, Metazoa, Chordata, Mammalia, Rodentia, Caviidae.
CUCGGUCGAUCUUCGAGCCGAAGAUGCGGCGGGGGUGGAAGAUGGCCAUGUCUGGGGGUCUGCGGUGCUGCCGCCGGGUACUGUCCUGGUUGCCAGUGCUCGUUAUUGUCCUCGUCGUGCUCUGGUCCUACUAUGCCUACGUCUUUGAACUCUGCCUGGUGACUGUUUUGAGCCCAGCAGAAAAAGUUAUCUACCUCAUACUCUACCAUGCCAUCUUUGUAUUUUUUGCCUGGACCUACUGGAAGUCUAUCUUUACACUUCCACAGCAGCCAAACCAGAAGUUCCACUUGUCCUAUACGGACAAAGAGCGCUAUGAAAACGAAGAGAGACCUGAGGUCCAGAAGCAGAUUCUCAUUGAUAUGGCCAAGAAGCUACCAGUUUACACAAGAACCGGGAGCGGAGCUGUACGAUUCUGUGACCGGUGCCAUCUGAUCAAGCCAGACCGCUGCCACCACUGCUCUGUCUGUGCCAUGUGUGUUUUAAAAAUGGACCAUCACUGCCCUUGGGUUAAUAACUGCAUUGGAUUUUCCAACUACAAAUUCUUCCUUCAGUUCUUAGCUUAUUCUGUUCUCUACUGCCUGUAUAUUGCUACAACAGUCUUCAGCUACUUCAUCAAAUACUGGAGAGGAGAACUGCCCAGUGUUCGCUCUAAGUUCCAUGUCCUUUUUCUCCUCUUUGUGGCCUGCAUGUUUUUUGUCAGCCUUGUGAUUCUAUUUGGUUACCACUGUUGGCUUGUCAGCAGAAACAAAACUACCUUAGAGGCCUUUUGCACUCCAGUGUUUACCAAUGGCCCAGAAAAAAAUGGAUUCAAUCUUGGAAUCGUCAAAAAUAUCCAACAGGUGUUUGGAGAUAAUAAGAAGUUCUGGCUAAUACCUGUUGGGUCCAGCCCUGGUGAUGGACACUCUUUCCCUAUGAGGUCUAUGAAUGAAUCACAGAACCCACUGCUAGCAAAUGAAGAACCCUGGGAAGAUAAUGAGGAUGAUAAUCGAGAUUAUCCAGAAGAUACACCAUCUCUUGCUCUAGAAACUGAAACAUAGAAGUUUUCACAUUCCCUCCAUCUUUUAGGUUCUGCCUUCCCUUCUACACCUUGUCCCAGUUCUUUUGUCUCAGAGUGAAUGACCUCAGCAAAAGCAACGACUCAAGUCACACCUGCCUUUAUUAACUAACCCACUGACCCAUUAUCUCCCAUGAGACUUACAGAAUCCAAUGUUGGGAACCAUUCUAAUCUUCAAAACAAGUCAUCAUGUUGGAUUAAAAUCUUCAGAAAUUGAAAGCAUUUCAUCAAAUACUUGCUGUGCAGAUGUUUGAAUACUUUACAUAUAAUUUAAUACACUGAGUAAAUUCCAAUUUAGCAACAAUUAUUUUUAAACUAGUUUCUUUUUGUUUCUUACACUUUUCCAAAUCCAUGAAAGCAUAUAAAACAUAUAUCCUUACAUUCAUCUCAUCAGGCAAAAGGGAAUUUUAAAUAUUUGUUUUGAACACUAAUUCUCCCAGAAAGCCUAUCGUAUCUACAGGGUCUAUUUGGUAUUGCUGUUUGUGUGCAUGUGCUAUUAUGAACAUGUACUUUUCAGCAUCACUACACAAAAUUCUGCCAUAAUGUCAUAAAAAUUAAGGUUAAAAAAGCAGAAGCUUUUAAUGAAUCAUGCUUUUCCCCUAAAGAGAAAUUUAUAUAUUUGCUGAGCUUCAACCUUCCCCAUAUCAGAUAUCUAAAAUUUGAGAUAAAUAUUUGAUACACUGUGACCAAAGUCUUCAAAUCCAGAAUUUUCCUGAAAGAUCAAAUUAAAUCAGAUUAGAUUUUGACUUUUUAACAAGUAGUAAUUAAUGUUCUAAAGAUUUAAUGCCAGGCUGUGGUAAAAUUCUCCAAUUAUUUAUAUUAAUUACUGUCUAGUUUUAAUCUUUAUGUAUUACUUUUAAGAUGAAAGAAAAACUGUAUAAAUUACAGACUAUCAGAUUUAUAAAUGAUUUAAGGGUGACUUUCAGGUUUCAUUUUAGUACCAUUUAAAGGGAUAAAGUUUCAUAGCUGACAUUAGCUGAGGAUUAACAAAAGAGCUGUGUUUUCAUAGCAAGAAUUAAUGUACAGAUAGUGAUAACUGAACUGUAAUAUGUCAGUCCUGUUUUUAAGUUUUAGUUACAGCUCAAACAUAAUUUAUAUUCAUUUCCCCAUUUAUUUAAAAUCAGCCUUUCUUUCAGUCCCAGUACCUGUAUCAAUGAGAAUGAAGACUAGUGAUGCUUCUUUGUAGUAAUAAUACUUAAAAGAGUAUUGAUAUUUUUCACAUUUGAACCAGCGCUGUGGUGUCCAGCUGCUGAAAAUAAAACUCCCAACUCUUUCAGAGAUCAGUGGAAAUUACAGGCAUCUUACAGAUAUCAAAGAAUUGAGUCUCCAAUAGGAUAGUUUGAUUUACAAAUUAUCUUCCUGAAAUCUUUUUGAGAAAAAAAGAGUUAGUUGCCUGCCAUAGAUAAGUCAUUAUUAAGGUUCGAGGGCCACUGAGAAAGUGAGCAAUCCAUCUACUUAAAGCAGCAACAAAAUCUAUUUAUUUGGACCCCAUAGAUACUUUUGACAGAAAUGAGAAUUUUAGCAUAAAAUAUAUGAAUUUAGUUCAGCAUUUCACUUGAGAUGACACUAGACAUGACUAUAUUAAGACAAGAAAUAAGGGAUUGUGUCUCAAACUCAGAAGCUAAGGAACAGUCUAAAAGACUUUUAUCACUGGAUUUCAUGAUGAAAUCUCAUAUGUUAAAAUUGGAAGAUUUUCCUUCCAUUUUCCUUCUAAAACAGUUCUCUUGUUUAAGUUUCUAUUAAAAUCUUAUUUGACUAUCUGCCUGGUUUUUGAUCAAUAAGUUUUGUUUCCUCUUCCUAUACAAAUAUGUCUUUCUAUGAACAGAGGAAGAUUGCUUCCUCAAUAACCAGUGGGCUUCAAAGCAAUCUUCCUCUUUCCCAUCUGUCACCUUCUGCUAAGAGUUUAGGCAGAGCAGCUGCUAUUUAUGAUUCAAAGUCAAAGGCAUGAAGAACUUCUCUGAUGCAUAGAAUGUAUCAGUACUGAGUAUUGUCACAAAUCAGGUCCCAAAAGACAGUGUCAGCAAACUACAGAGAAGCCGUGGAAAGGUACAAGUCUGGGUAGCUAUAAUGUAAAAUUGAUUGUUUAAUGUCUUACAAACUUAUACUGCUUGGAGACUUGGAGAAAUAUAAAAUCUAUUCCUAUCUUAGCACUUUGAUCCUACUGCUUUAUAGAUUGAUAAUAUCCCUAUCCAUAGAUCAUUUCAAUUUUAACUACUGUGUAUAGCCAUCCAUCUGGUUAAUUAUUGAUCAAGAAGACAGAGAGCUCCAUUUAAUAAUAAGCAUGCCAUGAUCUGUCUCCUUGUCUUUCUUGUCAGUGGAAGCUUGUUCAAUAAUCUCUAUGGAUCUCAUUCCUUAAUUUAUGUUAAUCUUUUCUCCUAUUUGCAAUAAUGUACUCAUUGUUAAGAUCUUACAUUUGAAAGGUGCUGUGUAACUCCCUAGUGCUCUUAUAUAUCUUUAAUUGCAACACUGGGAUGAAAAGUUUAACCAUAAUAAUAUUUCUGAGUAAUAUGCUUUAGUCUUUCUUCCACUCUUUAAUUGCAGACUUUGCAUGGAUAACUUAGAGUACUUUGCUGUUUUUUGUUUUUGCUGUUGUUACUGUUUUAGAGUACUUUGUUAAUGUUACUCUAUUUGUUCCAACAAUGUCCUUGAAAAGAGAAAGAAUGGAAAUUAUUUAUCCUGUGGUAGAUCUGGAAAAAUUAAGGCUAAAAAAGAGAUGCAAUGCUAUCCAAAAGCACAUAGAUGUCCUUACAGUUACAGUGUCCAAUACACAACGAGUUGACUUCCUAGUACUGGAAUUACCGUGGAACAGCUUAUAAUACUGAUACUAGCAAAGAUAGGAUCACAUUACAAAGAGUCCAACUUUGUGCAAAACAUUGAAGUAUGAAAUUUAUACAACCCUUAUUUUUUAAUUCAAUAUGUGCCUCUUUUUCCCAUUGGCCUUGUGUGACACAUAAAUUUCACACUGUACAGCAUUGGCCAGUGCCAUAAUCCCUUGUAACACCAGAAAAUCCAAUCUCAGGACUGUUUUUGCCAAGACAACAAUGUGAUUCUCCAUGUUUCUGCCAAAUUGCUCAAACUCUAGUCAUUUCAAUUAACAGAGAUUCAAGCAAAGUCAUAGCAAGUGUGAAUAUCCAUUAUUGUAAUUCAGACCUGAAUUGUGGCAUAUACACAGGAAUACAAAUCAUUCAAAGCCUAUCUAUUUCACAUCACACUACAUAUUUAUAUAUGUUUACAUUCACAGCUGGGUAUGGUAGUGCAUGUCUAUAAUGCCUACAUUCUGGGAAGCUAUGACAGGAGUAUCUCAACUUCAAACCCAAUGUAGGCAGCUUGGUGACUUCAUGAUGCUUUGUCUCAAAAGUUAAAAUAUAAUAAAGGACUCAGUGUGAAGGCCCUGAGCUCAAACCCCAGCACUGCAAAAAUUAUCCCUCAUAUGUACAUGCACACACAAUUCUCAAGAGACCUCCCCAAGAGAUCUGAAUUUUCUCAAGCAGGAAGUAGUUUAAGGAGUUACUUUCUUUACUUUUUUAAAAACAAUGUCCAAGAAUCAUAGCACAUGAAAAAGACAUCCUUCACAUAUUUGAAAACUUCUGCUAUCAAAGUUGCUGAGACUUAGUUAAUUCAAGAGACAUAUUCAGAACACAGACAUGUAAAGAAUCUAACAAAAUCACCAAACACUUCCAUAAGUCCUGUGUUCUAAGAAAAUUCAUGAGCUCAAUCCACUCAGUAUGAAGUGACUGACAAGGUAUGAUACAUCUGCAUUUCUUUAAUCAUAGCUAUAAUGUAUCAUAUUAUAACUCUCUGUAUAUGGCUGUUAUGUAAUAUAAUAAUUAUUGCGUGGGUUCUAAAAGCAUGUGGCCCAUGACUUGUUUGCUUCUCCAAAAUGAUUAGGGCUGUGUCCUGCACAUUAAAUGUUUUCUUUGGAACAGCCUGGUACACAGCCAUUAGCAGAAUGAGUUAAAGAAGGCAAUAGAUUGCUAUUAGGAAAUAGCAGUUAAAAAAUAAAAUAGCAUGUAUUUGGGGAAUAAUUGUUUUUACCCUGCUGGUGAAAUCAGCGAAGGAACACAGCAGGAAAGCUGAGACCAGGUCUUGGUAAUAUACGAAAUGUAUUGAAAAGCUAGAAAAAGAAAAGCACUGAGAACCUCAGCAAUUUAACUCAUUGCCAAUUUGCUACAAAUCAUUUUUCCACCAAUCUGCUCAAAAGGCACUGUAUAUAGUGUUCUUAAAACCAUGUAUCUUGUUGCAGAAAUAUUGACAAAUGCUAGCCAGCAUUAUUUUCCUACAUUCUUUAUUAAAAGUAUGUGAAUAAAAUUGUUGUUCAUUUUCUGAUUAUGGUUUUGUUAAACAAUAUUAGCAAAGCCUAAAUUUUUGGCUUCUCUGAUGGAAGUUUAUGUACAUCUCAUUUCAUAUGAGUGUAGUUGAGUUUAUUCACUCUCAGGUUGUGGGUAUGUUUGAUAUGUAGACUCUUUUGAAACAUUUCAUCUUCUGAGCAUCCCCUUCUAUGUCUUCAGUAUUUCUUAUAUUCCUGCAAAAGUGUGAGUUGGGAAAUAAACAGUAAUGGCUUUUAGGUAGAAAACUGACUAGCCUAAUGACAGUUUAUCAUUUUCAGUCUCUGCUUCACUCUUCUGCCAUUGUGAUAAGUAAAAAUUAAAUGGAAUUUUCUUUAGGCAAUUAA